Piliocolobus tephrosceles (Ugandan red Colobus) is the source of this 1787-nucleotide long non-coding RNA. NCBI's taxonomy places the organism in Eukaryota, Metazoa, Chordata, Mammalia, Primates, Cercopithecidae. The record is from Ensembl.
AACAAUAAAUUAAAUUCGAAUAUAACAAAAAAAACUGCGGAAAGAAAACAUGAUUCCACCAAUAAUAGUAAUAUUCAAAUACAUAAAAUAUAUGAGUUUGAUCCCACUCAAAUGGAAUUACCAUCUUUUGUUAAUUCUAAGAUUAUAUAUUUUAUGAUAAGUAAUAAUAUAAAAAAUUACUGCACAAAAUGUACUUAUGAACAUAAUAAUGAAAAGAAAUUUGAGUUUGAUACUGCAAAGAAACUUUUUAGUUUAAAUAAUUUGUUUUUACUUAGCACGGUUAACUUAUGUUACACUGGAGUGUUGUGUACUCAUACGUGUACAAACGACGACAACAUCACCAGUAGCUGCUACUAUUCCAGUAGUAUUCCCUUUUUUAAAGAUAUCAAAACCGAGCAGAGUAAGUCCAUUUUCGUGUAUAACAAAAUAGACAAAUUUUCUAAAAUUAACCUGAACAUGCAAGGUAAAAUACAUAACAACAGCAAAAAAAUAUUAUUUUUUCUAAAAAAUAGAUAUAUUAUAACUCCUCAAAAAAACAUUUUAAACAUAGAUUAUAAACAAAAAAAUGACUCUAUCACCAUUUCAGACAAGCUACUUAAAUAUAGGCAGUCAUUAUUUUAUUUUUUUAAAAAAAAAAAAGUAUUCAUAUGUAUAAAAAAAUGUACUACUACUAAAAUCGGCAAAAAAAAAAAAAAGCUUAUUUCAUAUUACAAAAUAGUUCAGAAACAAAACUGUGUAAUAAUUAUGUACAGAAAAAAUAAUAAUGUUGAUAAUAAUACUACAACCACUACUACUAUUACUAUCCCUACCACUACCACUACUAACAAUAAUAAUAAUAAUAAUAAUAAUAAUAAAACAUUUUCUUUCGAUGAAUACCCUGAUAUUUAUAAAAAAGUACCCAAUAUAAAACUAACAAAUUUUUAUGUUAAGGUAAAUGAUGGAUUAAUUAGCUAUUUUGAUCAAACAAGUUGCCAAAACAAUAUGAUUGAUUAUAAUUCGAAAUUUAAACGAAUAUCUUAUAAAAAAGAAAAGAAACAUACGUACAAACACAGGCAUAGAAAUAGGUAUUAUAAGUGUACGUUGGGUAUGCAUUUGUGGAUUCAAAAAUUUGCCAGGUUUGUAACAAAAACGGAAGCAAGUACUAGAGAAAGCAACAGAGAAAGCAACAGAGAAAGCAACAAAGAAAACAACAGAACAAGCAACAAAGAAAACAACAGAANNNNNNNNNNAGAAAACAACAGAACAAGCAACAAAGAAAACAACAGAACAAGCAACAUAACGAAUGAACAUACAGAUGAUGGUCAAACUUAUAAAAUACAUACGUUACAUAAGGACACAAAAAAAAAAGUGGAAAAAGAGCUACCUACAACUAUGAAUAUAUUAAGCAACCAUUAUAUUCUAUUUAAUACUCUUAAAAUGAUUAACAAAAAAAUAACGGAAGAUAUGUACAUGAAUUUAAUAUAUAACACGUGUGUUGUAUUAUAUAAAAAAAGAUUCCUAACUUGUUCAGACAAUUUUCGAUUUUCUUUUAAUGAUUAUAAUAAUAUGAUAAUGAUGGAAAAGAAUUAUAUUGGCAGUGGUUCUAAAUUUUAUAACAAAACAAAUACUGUUUUUAAUACAGAAUACCAACUUAAACAAGGUAAUAAAAGUAAUUACAAAAUAAAUACUGUUGCUAAUGCAGAACCUGAGUCGUCAUAUCGCGUAUCGAAAAAAUAUGAACUGUUCAUAAAUUACCUUAACUGUUCAUGUAUUUAUGAAACUUUACUUUUGCUAAAAAAUAAUGAGCA